GACACUCCUUGGCCCCGGCAGCUUCCUCGCUCUCAGAGGCUCUCUUGGGUUCCAGCCUUGGGCUUGGACACCAGGCAGAAGUGCUCCAGCAUGCAGGACACGGUGUGCGGCUGUCGCCAAGGCUAUUUCUGCGAGGCCGAGGACAGGGACCACUGUAUCAUGUGCUUGCCCCACACCAUCUGCCACCCUGGCCAGAGGGUACAGAGGAGAGGUACAGAUAGCCAGGACACAGUGUGUGCCAACUGCUCACUGGGGACCUUCUCGCCCAACGGGACCCUGGAGCAAUGCCUUCCCUGGACCACGUGCCGCGGACCUUUUGCCGUGGAAGCCGAGCGGGGGACCAGCAGCAGGGACGUCUCCUGCUCCCUGUCCCGGUGGUUCUAUGUCUUUGUGUCCGUCCUCCCCCUCUCCGUGGUGAUCGUCCUGAUGAUGUGGGUGAGGAGGAAAAGGCUAUCUGGCUCUGAGCCCAGCGAGAUGGCUGUGCUGCAGCCGCAAGUAGCGGAGGAAGCCGGUGAGUCUGCAGUCACCCAGGCUCCAAAAGUCACCACGGUGGCGGAGGAGGAGACAGCACCGGUGUUGAGGGCAGUGGGCCCCCAUCGAUGAGCCACAGGGUUGGGAACCGGGUGAUUCAACCUACCGGGAGCAGACGCAUACCUGGCAGGAGUGCGGCACCUGCCCUAGGCUAGCUCCAGCUGCAGGAGCAGGAGAGACAGGGCUCUGGCUCAGGGAGAUGUCACAGCGGUCCCCAUCGGUCAAAGGGGGUCCAGAGCCCCCCCAGCAGCCCUGGUGCAGCGUCCUGCAGAGGCCCAGCACCAUGAGGACACAGCGAGGCUGCCUCUGGCUCCAGCCCUCCCGAACCUCAGGCUGCUCAUUUGGAGGGUGUGUCUGUGGACGCUACCUCACGGGGCUGGGACUGCCAGGAGUGUGGCAUUAAGUGACUAUUCCAAUUUGGGGUGAUUUUGUAAGUGGUUUCUGUCCUCUCACUUUUGUCAUAAAGUACAUAUUCUGGUUAGAUGCCCACCACUGUGUGCAUCUCACUGACCACCGGACUCCCCUGCGGCACGCGGUGGCAGCAGCACCUCGUCAUGGCGGCACAGUUCCACUGUCCCAGCCUCCUGCUCUUCCCUCAGGGAGUGGCAGUGUUACCGCUGUUGACCGGUGACGAGUCCUUGCUUCCCCGAUGUUGAAGAAUAACACCAAAGAAGCACGCGAGGCAAGGUCAGAGUAGAGAUUAGAAGUUUAUUAAAGGACAGCAGAAAAGAAUUCUCCCGGAGGAAGAAGGGGACCCAGGAGGUGGAAUCCAGUUGGCGGGCAAUGUGUUCCCCUUUUUAUAGUUUUGGUGAUGGAAUGUACGUUGGAGGGCCCGAGGAGUGGGACCCAGGUGGACCUAAUUAUCACCUUUUGGGAUGGGAUUAUCACUUCUCUGGGAUGGGCCAUCUCCAAAUCUGUUGGGGGCUGUUCAUUAACACUUCUUCCAGGUGGACUUUGGCCUAGGGCCUUUCCGGAACUUCAUUAACAUUCCAUGAAUUGUGUGUUUUCCCUGAGCCAUUCCCAGCAUGGCCUCCAUCUUAGAUUUCACUCGAUAUUAGACCCGAUUUACCUAACUACACUGACUACCUAACUGUAAAACUGCUUCAGCAGGAGGGAUGGCAGGGUGUCUCUUCCCCUCUGCCCUGACACUGCUCACCUGCCCCUUGACUACAGUCUCUAGUUCUGCCCCCAGGGUUCAAGUCCCUGGCUCCAUCCAGAGCACUCCUUUGCCCAGUCCCCACCCCUCAGUGACAGCGUCCCUAAGUUCCCGCCCAGCAGGGCCUGGCCUCCAAAGAGCCCUGGUUGCUUCCUAAAGAACAGAGUGUCAGACCCACCCCAGGAGCCACAGUGACGGGCCAGCCAGCUUCCGGGUGUGGGGGGACAGACCUAGGAUCACUCCCCUGCACGUGUGCGGCAGAUACUGAUGUGUGCGUGCAGACCAGGAGCCAGGUGUGCGGGUGUGUGCGUGCGGGGGCACUGGGAGGUGUAAGCCCAGGUCCACUCGGGUCUCUGGCUCUGCUUGCUGUUAGGGUCUGUAAACUAGUCGGGAUGGCGCCUGGCAUUUUGCAGAGGGAGUGGUUUGUGAAGUCACGCCAGCGAGCCCUUAAGUGUGGAGAUUCCUGGUUGGCUGACUGCUGUAUCUCCUUUAUGUUAAUUAAGAUAAGCUGUGUGUAAUUAGUUAUGUAUAUAGACCCCUCCUGUCCUACAAUGAACAGCUCCCACUCCUGCUGUAUCAAUGUACACAAGUUGCUGGUCACCCCCCCGGUUAUUUUGCUGCAGCCGGACUGCGGCAGCUUGCGACUUGGCCGGCCCCUCUGCCUGUGCAGCUCCUGCUGAUGGACAGCUGGCUCCUCCAUGCCGAGCCCCUUGCAGGGCGACCCAGGCUCAGAGCUGCUGCCUGCCCGCAGGCUCAGGGAGCUCCGUGGCCUCCUUUCUGUAGCUCCAUGUUCAGCCCAGGUGUGCAGAGAGGGAUGUGGGCUGCUUUUUAUUUCCUCUCCCUUUUAUUUUUUUUUUUUGGAGUGGUCAUUUUUUUUCAUGUGAAAUAUAAUUUCCUUCAUUAUGCGAGUUUCAAUUCUGUUUUGCAGAAUUUAUACCCUAUUCUUGUUGAUUCUCUCUGUAUCUGUCUACCCAUUUUUUAAAUCUGUGGAACAUUAAUAAAGAGUUAAAUGUUAAUGUCAGUGGCCC
Molecule: long non-coding RNA, 2715 nt
Filed under: Ictidomys tridecemlineatus (thirteen-lined ground squirrel)
Lineage: Eukaryota; Metazoa; Chordata; Mammalia; Rodentia; Sciuridae
Description: lncRNA (ENSSTOG00000031844.1)
Source: RNAcentral